UACUGGUAGUGCUGGAAGUGUGUAAAUCUCAGAAUCACUUUCUAGUUAACUUUGAGCCUUUUACCACGAUAACAAUAUACCUCUUCAUGGCCCAACAACUCACACCUCGGGCAGGGUGGGGCUAAAAGCCCAGCUGGCCCCUAAUGCAAACAACAGACCCAAUACAAAAGUGAUUUAGACUUGAAGGGAACAGUCUUGAUUCUAUGAGCUUCUAAAAUAUACCGUGUAAACAGAAUGCUAUGCUUGUGUUUCCUAUUGAUGAACAGUUCUGACUUGCAGUGCCUGCUCUCAAUUUCAAGUCAAUGUCAUUGCCACAAAUUUUUCAAAACAUGAAAAGGCCCACUUUACUAUCUUAUUAUUACAAAAGUGAUAUUUCAAGAAAAAAGUUUCAAAUGGUUUUCAUUGUCUGUUACACAAAUAAA
RNAcentral lists this unclassified non-coding RNA (422 nucleotides) under Hevea brasiliensis (rubber tree). Lineage: Eukaryota; Viridiplantae; Streptophyta; Magnoliopsida; Malpighiales; Euphorbiaceae. The record is from RNAcentral.